This 36-nucleotide ribosomal RNA is filed under the name Pelobates cultripes (western spadefoot toad). RNAcentral describes it as "SSU_rRNA_eukarya". Lineage: Eukaryota; Metazoa; Chordata; Amphibia; Anura; Pelobatidae. The record is from RNAcentral.
AGGGAGCCUGAGAAACGGCUACCACAUCAAAGGAAG